CGCGCGACCUGUUCCUCGGAGGGCCUCCGCACCCUCCCACACAUUCCCUGCAGUGGCGCCGGCCGCGUCCUGAAUGGCACCUGGUCGGCUCUUUUGUUGUCAGCGCAGGAAGCCUUUUUGUUUUUUUCUUGCUUUUCCUUUGCAUAGAACUGUGCCACGAAGUCGUCGUGUCUGGCCCACGUUUGCAUCCCCUACAAAGGCGGCCUGAAAUUGAUGAAAGCGUUCAGUGUCCGUUAAACUCCAGCCUGCAUUAGAAAGAUCUGCAUCAAGCUGAAUAGACAUGUGACACGGAUGAACCUUGAUAGCUUCCUGACAGGACCUCGCUGUGCAGUACAGGCUGGCCUUGAAUGCUAGCCUCGAACUCGUGGCGAUCCUGCCUCAGCCUGCCUCAGCCUGCCUCAGCCUGCCUCAGCCUGCCUCAUCCUCUUGGCUCUGAUUUGCUCCUGUACCCUUGCUGCUGCACAUCCAUCCGGGUCGACCCCCCGCUACCCCAG
Molecule: long non-coding RNA, 494 nt
Filed under: Heterocephalus glaber (naked mole-rat)
Lineage: Eukaryota; Metazoa; Chordata; Mammalia; Rodentia; Bathyergidae
Description: lncRNA (ENSHGLG00000046579.1)
Source: RNAcentral